Molecule: ribosomal RNA, 354 nt
Filed under: uncultured soil bacterium
Lineage: Bacteria
Description: bacterial SSU rRNA
Rfam family: Bacterial small subunit ribosomal RNA
Source: RNAcentral
CAGCCGCGGUAAUACGUAGGGCGCGAGCGUUGUCCGGAUUUAUUGGGCGUAAAGAGCUCGUAGGCGGCUCAUUGCGUCAACCGUGAAAACCAGCAGCUCAACUGUUGGCUUGCGGUUGAUACGGGUGGGCUGGAGUUCGGUAGGGGAGACUGGAAUUCCUGGUGUAGCGGUGAAAUGCGCAGAUAUCAGGAGGAACACCGGUGGCGAAGGCGGGUCUCUGGGCCGAUACUGACGCUGAGGAGCGAAAGCGUGGGGAGCGAACAGGAUUAGAUACCCUGGUAGUCCACGCUGUAAACGUUGGGCGCUAGGUGUGGGGGGCCUCUCCGGUUUCCUGCGCCGUAGCUAACGCAUUAA